Molecule: long non-coding RNA, 212 nt
Filed under: Lathyrus oleraceus (garden pea)
Lineage: Eukaryota; Viridiplantae; Streptophyta; Magnoliopsida; Fabales; Fabaceae
Description: Pisum sativum (pea) long non-coding RNA (PSAT_LNC033392)
Source: RNAcentral
AAGUUCAAAGGAUUUAGUUGAUCAAAAUUACUUUUGAUCAACUUGAAUCGUGGGUUUGAUAUGAUUUGAAAUUCUAGGUUAGAACCUAAUCUAAUGGUUAACAAUUAAUCAAGCUAAUCUAAGGGAUCUGGUUAUGAUUGAUUAAAAUUCUAUGUUAGAAAUCCUAAGGGGCAUGUUAUUAUAUGGUCAAAAAGCCAAAGUAAUUCCUAAGG